Pseudopipra pipra is the source of this 3482-nucleotide long non-coding RNA. RefSeq lists it as uncharacterized. The record is from RefSeq and is a predicted model, not a curated record. The transcript is spliced from 2 exons. Lineage: Eukaryota; Metazoa; Chordata; Aves; Passeriformes; Pipridae.
CACAGGCUGUGGGUGGGGACCCUGGGCCACAUGGGGUGCACAGUCUCAGGCAGUGGGGUCCUGCCUCUGGCCACUCUGACUCCACUGCAGCAUCCUCGGGGGAAAAAGCUGCUUCUGGACAUUUUACUGCUCAAAGUUGGGCAGUCACAGAAUGACAGAAGGGUUUGGGUUGGAAGGGACCUUAAAGCUCAUCUCUGCCCUCCUGCCAUGGGCAGUGACACCUUCCACUAUCCCAGGUUUCUCCAAGCCCUGUCCAACCUGGCCUUGGACACUUCCAGGGAUGGGGCAGCCACAGCUUCUCUGGGCAAACUGCCAAUGGCCUCACCAUCCUCACAGGGAACAAUUUCUUCCCAACAUCCCAUCUAAUCUUGCCCUCUGUGGUGGAUCCUGUGCCACAUCAAAGGCCCCUAGAGCUGCAGGUGUUUGCAUUAACCUGCUGCAGCUGCUCAGGGAACAGACUCUAGAGUUCUGCUACGACUGCCUGGCAGAUUCUGUCAUGGGAGCUCACAUGGGGGAGCUCACAUGGAGGAGCAUAGGAUCCCAGGAGCUGUGCAGGGAGGGCCCUUAGGAUGGUCAGAGCCCCUGAGGACCAGGGGAGCAGUGGGAGACUCCCCAGCAGCAACAAGCUGCUGCCCACAGGGCUUGUGGCUCCCUGUGGGAUCCCAGGGCAGGUGGGACUGCUCUGGGCUGCGCAGGAAGGAGGGACUGGGGGGAAGAGCAAGUGUAGGAAACAGACAGCGAGGGACCAGUUGCAUGUAAAAGAAGAAAUAACAGCUCACCACAGAUGCUCUUCUUUUCCAGCAGUUUGCCAAGUCUGUGGCUCUUUCUGCUGCACAGGGAGAGCCCACCUUUCCAUCAGUGUUUUACAGCCCAGGGACUUCACUCCUGCAGGAGCAGCCACAGCAGACACAGACUGUCUCCAGAGACUCGUAUCUGCUCUGAGAAUCCUCAGCAGAGCCAUCCUGGGGGAACUGGGAGCCACAGGCCAAAGCCCUGCAGUGCUCCAAGACCCCAGGGAAAAAUGUCCUUCCCACCCUACCUUUCUCAUAUCCCCUUCCAGGAAAGAACCAAGGACCAGGAGCAUAGCUGUGUUUUCCAGUCUUUUAGUUUGAAAAAAGUAUUGAUUGAAAGUGUACAACCGAACACGGCGUGGCCUCAGCACCGCCACCAGAUUGUUUCACAAAUAAAAACAGAAAGGGCCUUAAAUAAUCGGGUGCAGAUUAAAAAAACCUCAACAGUGAAAAAGUUCUUCCCUCCGAACAGAAAUUCACAGGCACAGAAAUGGCAACAACCACAUGGAGACAAUGGGGGGACAUCCUCCUCCUCCUCCUCACCACGGGCUCUGCGCCGUGGCGCUCCCGCGCAGCUCCGUCCUCGCUCCCGCUUUGGAAUGGUUACGGAUGAACAGUGCGACAUGCCCUCGCUAACCAGACCCACCCCCACCCCCCGACCAGGACAUGGACAAACAAGGCCUCUACUAAGGCUAAAAAAAGGACAAGACUUGGAGUCUUGAGUUCAGCAUGGGUAAGAAACGAGAGUCUGGUGAGCACAGCCCAGUCCCUGGGCGGGCCCCGCUACUCCAGCUUGGCCUUCUUGGUGCUGUCCCCGCCGUUCUCCUCCACCGGUGCCACCACCUCCCCCAGUUUCCGCUUCCCACUCUCAGCAGGUGGGUGUGUGUUACGGGGUUUGAAGCUGAUGAUGAUGCAGGUCAUGUUAUCGCAGCCGGUGCCAUCUCCUGAGGUGUCUGGAGCCAAGCACUGAUCCAGCAGCUGGGGAGGGAAAGAGUGAGUCAGCAGAGAGCAGACACACACUGGGACCACUCCGAGGCACUGGGCCCAUUCCAACGCCUAACAGUGGCUGCCAGGCCAGGGCUAUGUGGGAUGAGUUAAAUGCUGUUCCCACCAGAGAAGGGACAGAAAUGGCCUCAGCAGCCCCAGGUUUCUGAAUGUGGGCAGCAACUCCUUGGGCUGGACAGCACCCCUGAGGUCAGACACAGGCCUGGGUGCCCAGGGAACUGGGUCUCAUUGCAGAGGUGUUUCUGCUCCUGCCCAUCGCAGCCCAUGAGCUGCAGACCCCCUGAGUGCUGAAUGAGCCCAUGUGAGGGAGCAGGAGGGCAGAGCCAGGUCCUGAGCUGGGACACAGAGAUGCUGUGCUGCUGCAGGGACAGCAGAACUCCGGAUUUUACCUCUUCUACGAUGGAGGAGAGCGGCCGCAGGACUCCGUUCUCAUCCUUUUGAGUGAUCUUGGACUGGAUGAAAUCCACCACUUCCUGGCUGCUCAUCACAUUCCUGCAGAGCAGAGAGGUCAGAAGAGCAGGCGAAGGGAGCACACAUGGCAGUGUCCCACAGGCCUUCCCCAGGCCCAGCUCCAGAGAAAGACCAGAGAAGCGAUACCCCAGAGGCACAACAGCUCCCUCACCACUCACCAGAUUCCAUCACAGGCAAUGACCAUGAAGUCGUGGUCAUCAUUUAUUGUCAGCACUUUGAUGUCAGGCAAGGCAGAGAUCAUCUGCUCUUCUGGAGGGAGGUUCUUGUUCCGCUUGUAGAAGUGAUCCCCUGUGGUGGGCAGGAGGAUGUCUGGGCAUGGGCAGUGCUGCCUGCCCUGCACAGGGAGCAGCACUGCCCCACAACAAGGUCCCAGUGGGAUCCAGCCAGUGCUCCCACAGCCUGGGAUCAAGCUGUGGGCCACGAGGCAGAGAACUACCGGAGGUUCCAAGUGUCAGCUCUGGCUAGUCCAGGGAAGAGGGGCCUUGGCCAGCUCAGCCUCUCCUCACCCCAAAUCAAGUGCUGCUUCCCCACCUCCUGGGGCAACACCAGCCCAACAGUACCUGUCACCUCUGGAGAGGCUGUGGCUGCCCCAGCCCUGGAAGUGUUCUGGGCCAGGCUGGAUGGCACUUGGAGCAACCUGGUCUAGUGCAAGGUGUCACUGCCCAUGGCAGCGGGGGUUGGAACAAGAUGAUCUUUAAGUUCCAUCCCAUUCAAACCAUUCCAGGGUUCAUUCUAUGAUUCAAAGCUCACUUGAGAAAACUGAUCCUCAGCUCCAGCUAGCAGUUUAUCAGGAAUCAGAGCCUACAAAGGGACUUCCAGGGCCACCACAAAAUAGCAGGUGGGAAUGUCAGUGUCUCCCUAGAUAAACAAACUCCUUGUCUCUAUCCUAAAGAUGUUUUUAUCUCUUUACCCUAGGAUAAUGAUUUCAAUGGUUUGGGUCCUUCUGCAGAAGUACAGAUGACCAAGUGGGUUCAAACUACCAGGAAGCAACACACCAAGGUCCCUCAACAGACAGAGAGCAGGAGAAGUCCUGUUUCCAAAGGCAGCAGUGUGGUUUUGGGACAGUUUACAUGAGCUGGUUUUUGAUAACCCAGCUACUGGCACAACAGCCUGGGAGGUGCUAGGUGCUGCUUUCCACUGGUGUCCAACUGCUUCAUGGCCAUUUUCUCCAAUUAGACUGAAAUCUCCCAUCAAAUAAAGAACAGGCUCUACUCA